UUGUGCACCCCAGCUAUAAAUCAAAGUUUCCUUGACACAGCCCAGUGCAAUUAACACAAAUGUUCUCCUGGUGACAAGCCUAUAGGCACAGCCAGUUGGGACCAAAAGCUCUCACACUCGCCUAAUCAAGGACUUAAAGCCCCGAUUGGAGCUUAUAAAUAUGAAGUAGGGCUUUACAUAUGCAGUCCCACUGGCCUAGACAGAGACCGGAUUGGUAGGCCACCAGCCAAUCAGCGCCGGCGAGAACAGAAGCUGCACAGAUUGAGCGGAGCUCGGCAGUUUGGCAGACAGAGCAGAGGAGCAGCCUCAAGGGCUUUUGCGAAGAGAUCAUCGUAAGAUACCUUGCAAACAUCUGUCUUUGCUGAUGGUGCUGCUGUUUAGAAGACUACAGCUGUAGCAUUAUAAUUUAUGUAUUCCUGAAAGGCAGUUGGCCUUACCUCCUGGGAUAUAAAAUGUCACCUCCACUAGACCUAGGCCUGGAAUUUCAACUGUAUUCUUGAACUUGGACAUACCAGUUUUAGAUCAGUUAUGCUAAUCAAAUAAGAAAUAAAUGAGGCAAAUUACGAAAUAUUCUUGGCA
Molecule: long non-coding RNA, 579 nt
Filed under: Salvator merianae (Argentine black and white tegu)
Lineage: Eukaryota; Metazoa; Chordata; Lepidosauria; Squamata; Teiidae
Description: lncRNA (ENSSMRG00000018720.1)
Source: RNAcentral